This 857-nucleotide ribosomal RNA is filed under the name uncultured bacterium. RNAcentral describes it as "bacterial SSU rRNA". It matches the Rfam family "Bacterial small subunit ribosomal RNA", at positions 28 to 896 of the family's 1533-position model. The record is from RNAcentral.
GACGAACGCUGGCGGCGUGCCUAACACAUGCAAGUCGAACGGAUAUACUGUUUUAGGAUAGUAUAUUAGUGGCGAACGGGUGAGUAACGCGUGAGCAACCUGACCUUUUGAGGGGGAUAACACCCGGAAACGGGUGCUAAUACCGCAUAAGACCACACUGCCGCAUGGCAGAGAGGUCAAAGGAGCAAUCCGCAGAAGGAGGGGCUCGCGUCCCAUUAGAUAGUUGGUGAGGUAACGGCUCACCAAGUCAGCGAUGGGUAGCCGAGCUGAGAGGCUGAACGGCCACACUGGAACUGAGACACGGUCCAGACUCCUACGGGAGGCAGCAGUGGGGAAUAUUGGGCAAUGGGCGCAAGCCUGACCCAGCAACGCCGCGUGAGGGAAGAAGGCCUUCGGGUUGUAAAACUCUGUCGCAGGGGAAGAAAGAAAUGACGGUACCCUGUGAGGAAGCCCCGGCUAACUACGUGCCAGCAGCCGCGGUAAUACGUAGGGGGCGAGCGUUGUCCGGAAUUACUGGGCGUAAAGGGUGCGUAGGCGGCAAUUUAAGUUGGAUGUGAAAUACCCGGGCUUAACCUGGGGGGUGCAUCCAAAACUGGAGAGCUAGAGUGCAGGAGAGGGAAGCGGAAUUCCUAGUGUAGCGGUGAAAUGCGUAGAUAUUAGGAGGAACACCAGUGGCGAAGGCGGCUUUCUGGACUGUAACUGACGCUGAGGCACGAAAGCGUGGGGAGCAAACAGGAUUAGAUACCCUGGUAGUCCACGCUGUAAACGAUGAAUACUAGGUGUAGGGGGUAUGAACUCCCCCUGUGCCGCAGCUAACGCAAUAAGUAUUCCGCCUGGGGAGUACGGCCGCAAGGUUG